GGGAGACCCAGGUGCGUCCCGGCGCGGUGACCCACUUCUAGGAGUUGACGUUUUUUUCAGUUUGCUUGAAGCCGGAGGCAAUGGUGUCAGCUAAGAGAAUGACUUGUGGCUGGGAUCGUCCCUUCCAAGAAGCUCUCGGUCGCAUUCCAGCGUCUCGGUGGAGUCGAUGGUGGUACAAGAGUCAUAGCCCGCUCCGGAGAAGAGGCAAGUCACAGUCUCGUUCCUGAAGGCGCCAGAAGAGAAAUUACAGGCGCCGCUCGCUAUUCUGCUGGAGGUACCUCUCUCAGGAAAGGUCCUAUUACAGAAGGGCCUCUUUGAUCACGCGCAGGCGAUAGCACUAGGUCUUUUACCCUGUGGUGUAUCCGAAAGAACAGAGCACCUGGAGGGAGAGAUCCAGGAAGAGGUCGCGGAGCAGAACCCGGUUUCACAUAAUAAAAGAGGUUAGGAAGGUUUUUUUUGUCGCUAAGAGAGGCGCACAGGUUCACCUCUUUUACAUGUAGGGGUAUAUGUAUGAGUAGACGAGGAAACCAAGGUUUUUGUGUCGUUUAAUUUCUUUGAUUUCUUUUGAUGUAUGAAAUCUCCAGCUUUGGGUGAGGGAUGGGCAUUAGGUGAUUAGUAGACAAAACUAUGCAAUAACAAUCCAUAGCCUAUUUUUAAAGGGACAUCAUUCUUAUUCCUUGGAAUUAAAGAGUAAUGGUGACUUUAAAUGGUCCAGUGGAGGAAUCUAGUGAGGGCAGUUCUUAAUGGAACCUUUUAAAUGUCUUUUUUUUUUUUUUUGUUUUUUUGCCAUUUCUUGGGCCGCUCCCGUGGCACAUGGAGGUUCCCAGGCUAGGGGUCGAAUCGGAGUUGUAGCCGCCGGCCUACCCCACAGCCACAGCAACGCGGGAUCCAAGCCACAUCUGCAACCUACACCACAGCUCACGCCAGCACCAGAUCCUUAACCCACUGAGCAAGGCCAAUGAUCGAACCUGCAACCUCAUAGUUCCUAGUCAGAUUCGUUAACCACUGAGCCACGAUGGGAAACUCUUUAAAUGUCUAUUAAUGACACAAUAGUUUACCAGCUCUGAACAGCUUUAAUUAAUCUUGCCUUCAGCUUUUAAUAAGUUAACUAAUGACUGUGAGAGGAACGCAUUAAUCUUCCUUCCUCUUUGCGUUUUCUGUCUCCACUCUUUUUUAAAUUUACUGGCAUAAGACUGUCAGAUAUUUUGUAAGUGAGCAUCUUAAUCUUGCUUGUAUAAUAAAGUGCAUCCUUAAUUUGUC
This 1260-nucleotide long non-coding RNA is filed under the name Sus scrofa (pig). RNAcentral describes it as "lncRNA (ENSSSCG00015036869.1)". The record is from RNAcentral. Lineage: Eukaryota; Metazoa; Chordata; Mammalia; Artiodactyla; Suidae.